This is a long non-coding RNA of Raphanus sativus (radish), 732 nucleotides long. RefSeq lists it as uncharacterized. Lineage: Eukaryota; Viridiplantae; Streptophyta; Magnoliopsida; Brassicales; Brassicaceae. The transcript has 3 exons. The record is from RefSeq and is a predicted model, not a curated record.
UUAUCACCACCACGUUCCAUAUAAAAUCAUGAUCACGAACUGAUUUUUCUAUCUUAUUUAUUUUACUCUUUUCUUUUUCUGAACAUAGAUUCUACUUUCUUUUUCAUAGCUUCAUUCUCCUUCUGUCGAGUUUUUCUUCUGAUCAGAAACAAAUUCCAUACAAAUUUAUGAUUACUCUUAUUCUAAUAUUUUUAAUUGAUUAUUCUUAAUAUACAGUAGGUCAGUUUUCUUUAUUUCUCGAUUAAUAACCUCUCAAUUGUUCAUUCCAGGUAAAAAUGGCAAUUGGUUAUGCUUCCGUCAACUUAUUUUUUCAAUAAAAGAUGAGAAGUCAAAGGUUUACACCAACCAAGUAACAAAAAGAAAACAGAGAAACGGAGAGGGAAGAACAGAAACGGAGAGGGAAGAAGAAAAAAGUCAAACAAAACAAAACAAAAUCAAUGAGCUUCUCUGCAACAAACAUAAAACGCAAGCAGAACCAUACAUAAAUUGAAACAAGUGACAUCUUUUGAAGAAAUCACAUCUCAUGGCUAACAAAUAAUUGAUGUGAUAGCUACAUACUCCACUGAGGGAAAAGAAUAUCAGUAACUAUGAAAGAUUCAAAUUGGGUAAUUACAAAUUUGUUUGUUAUGGUUUUACUAUUUCACAUAUCUAUGUUUUCUUAUAAAAGAGUAUAUUAUGACUAUUUUGUAAACUUUUGUAGGUCUAUUAUAUUGAAGUUAACUAUUGUACAUA